UGAGGAAUAUUGGACAAUGGGUGAGAGCCUGAUCCAGCCAUGCCGCGUGCAGGAAGAAGGCGUUAUGCGUUGUAAACUGCUUUUUGCCAGGGGAUAAAAAGACCGUGCGCGGUUAAUUGAAGGUACCUGGUGAAUAAGCCACGGCUAACUACGUGCCAGCAGCCGCGGUAAUACGUAGGUGGCAAGCGUUGUCCGGAUUUAUUGGGUUUAAAGGGUGCGUAGGUGGCCCUGUAAGUCAGUGGUGAAAUAUCUCAGCUUAACUGAGAGGGUGCCAUUGAUACUGCAGGGCUUGAGUACAGAUGAGGUAGGCGGAAUUGACGGUGUAGCGGUGAAAUGCAUAGAUAUCGUCAAGAACACCGAUAGCGAAGGCAGCUUACCAAGCUGUAACUGACACUGAGGCACGAAAGUGUGGGGAUCAAACAGGAUUAGAUACCCCCGUAGUCCCUGAGCGGGCUGGCAAGGCGCAU
Molecule: ribosomal RNA, 467 nt
Filed under: uncultured bacterium
Lineage: Bacteria
Description: bacterial SSU rRNA
Rfam family: Bacterial small subunit ribosomal RNA
Source: RNAcentral